This 484-nucleotide ribosomal RNA is filed under the name uncultured bacterium. Its description in RNAcentral is "partial 16S ribosomal RNA". It matches the Rfam family "Bacterial small subunit ribosomal RNA", at positions 30 to 507 of the family's 1533-position model. The record is from RNAcentral.
AUUGAACGCUGGCGGCAGGCCUAACACAUGCAAGUCGAGCGGAUGAAGGGAGCUUGCUCCUGGAUUCAGCGGCGGACGGGUGAGUAAUUCCUAGGAAUCUGCCUGGUAGUGGGGGAUAACGUCCGGAAACGGGCGCUAAUACCGCAUACGUCCUGAGGGAGAAAGUGGGGGAUCUUCGGACCUCACGCUAUCAGAUGAGCCUAGGUCGGAUUAGCUAGUUGGUGGGGUAAAGGCCUACCAAGGCGACGAUCCGUAACUGGUCUGAGAGGAUGAUCAGUCACACUGGAACUGAGACACGGUCCAGACUCCUACGGGAGGCAGCAGUGGGGAAUAUUGGACAAUGGGCGAAAGCCUGAUCCAGCCAUGCCGCGUGUGUGAAGAAGGUCUUCGGAUUGUAAAGCACUUUAAGUUGGGAGGAAGGGCAGUAAGUUAAUACCUUGCUGUUUUGACGUUACCAAAAGAAUAAGCAACGGCUAACUUCGUG